UGUCGAGCUAUCCUGUAACUCCUUUGAGGGCUGCUGACAGAGGGCUUGGUGAACCAGUUUCACAAAACAGCUCAAAUGCAACGGUGAAAAAGAAAUGGAAAACAGAAAGCCAAGAAAGGAGCACCAUUAAUUAAAACUAUGGAGCAAUUUGUGGCUGGAUCAUUGUUCACUUCUGUGAUGAAUUGUCAAGAGAGGAAGAACAUUACAAAUUCAAAGGGGAGAAUUUUGCCAUGUUCGGAUCAUUCUGCUGCGUCCCUUUGUACAUCUGGAUGACAAGGACAGGCAUCUACUUACUGACCACAGCUCCACCUUCAACACUAUAAUCCCAACAAAACUAAUUUCCAAACUCCGAAACCUAGGUCUCUAAUCAGCCCUCUGCAACUGGAUCCUCGACUUCCUGACCAUUAGACCACAAGCAGCAAAGACAGGCAACAACACCCCCUCCACGAUAUUCCUCAACACCAGUGCCCCGCAAGGCUGCGUACU
Long non-coding RNA from Rhincodon typus (whale shark), 486 nucleotides. RefSeq lists it as uncharacterized. The transcript is spliced from 3 exons. Lineage: Eukaryota; Metazoa; Chordata; Chondrichthyes; Orectolobiformes; Rhincodontidae. The record is from RefSeq and is a predicted model, not a curated record.